AAAACCCUGAUCUAGGACAAAGGGGAAAUGAAUGGAGCCGAAGGAUCCUUCCCAGACGGUUCAAUAUUCAUAAUUGCUUUUCGCCUUUCUUAUUUUCCUUUUUUAUUUAUUUCUGUUUCGCUUAUUCUGAUCCUUCCAUCUUUUUGUUUGUCGUGGGUAUUUUCUUAGUUGACACGGUGGAACUCUUAAUUUCAAUCUUUUGUUUGAAUUCUACAGGCAUAUCGAUCUCGAAGAAACGGAGCGCCUGCCGACAUAUAAAAUCAAAGUUAUUCAUCCUCGAGGGAGCGUGUCACACACGCGCUGUCGUCACAUUUGGCAGGAACCCACGCGCACUAAGGAACAGCUCAAUUCUGCGCGUCGCCACUCACUCUCACAUACACAGGUCUACGUCAUAUUUCGGGAGACCGGGGAGGCUGUUGCUCUUUGUGGCCUGCCUCGCGCGAGAGUCGUGGUAUUGAUUGAUCCACCCGAGGAACGACGGACGGCCUGAUUGAAGCUCUUCUCAUCGUUUCUAAACAACUUUCUCUCCCUCACACGUACAUACACACACGCGCAUACAAAAUUACAAAAUUACAGAACACAUACACGACUCAGCGUUUUACUUAAAUGUAAUUCGGCAAAGUAUGUUCCUUUGUGUUGUUUUAUUUGUUACGGAAAAGAGUGGGCCUAUCAUAACAUUGAUCGACUCACUUGAGCAAUAAAGACAUAUAUGUGGGCUGCAGUAGUCCAUCUGUGCUGUUAUUCAAUCGCGCGCACACGGCAGCUCCCCACUCGUUUAGAUUUUAGAAGAAGAAUAGCCUAGCUGGAGAGAGGGGGGUGCUUUGUUCUUCGCUGUUGACUAUUUAUUGGUCAAAGAGUAGCCAGAUAUCGACCGAUCGAAACGACCUGUCUGAAGAACAGCGACUUCACUAAGCGGACUGCCAGUGCUUCCUUCACGCACUCGCCCUCGCUCCCUCUCUCACUCACAUAUUGCCGAGCGUACGCACGAGCGCGCUCACACACACAAAGAGAGGGCGUCCUCGACCUGAAUGCAACACCUCGACAUCUGCUGCUUGUGGCUGUGAUAUCAGGAACAGCGACAACUCCAGCUGUUGCGAACUACCAAGUUGUCAACUGCCACUGCUGACAGAGAGAACACACAGUUUUCCAACAUACAGAGGGAAGUACACGUCGAGAGGAACCGGGAGAGACAGGAAUGUGAUUAUACACUGAGAGCGACAGAAAGAGACAAAGACUAAAAAAAAAAAAAAAGAAUACAAGCUAACUACUAGAGGAGUAAUUCGAACGCAAUUUGUCCUGGAACAAACAAAAAGACACAUCUGACUCCACGACAAAGGAUUAAGAAGAUCAAACAAUCAUGCAGAACGGAUUCGACUACGGACCAAACGGCCUGCCCUCCCCAGGCAUCCAUGCUCAACUUAGUCCACCCAGUCAGCUGCCCCGGAUGGCGGAGGAUCAGCUGAAGACGCUGGAGAGAAAUUUCCAUAGCAACAGGAACCCCUCUGACCUUGACAUUACACUCAUUGCAGCGGAAGUUGGCUUAUCAGAGUCAGCAGUCAAGCGCUGGUUUGAGCAUAGACUUGCACGCUGGCGGCAGCAGCAAGGACUUCCGGCCAACAGCGGCUCGGUCAACGAGUGAACACUCCGCCUUCACUUCUGGUGCAAGUCUUCAACGUAGCUUAUUUUAGAAUGUGCGGAUGAUGUGAAUUUGUAGAAACCGAAAGUUAUGCCUUUCAACAUCAAAAUUCGUGCAGAUGUAAUUAAUUGUUUUCAACUGGGUUUCAAUCUCAGAUGACGCUCUGCUCUCAUGUUGAGCUUUUUCAUUUGAACAAAUUCACCUCUUCAGCCCAACUUAGUAUAAAGCUAAACUUGAAAUAUUUGGUGUUUUCAUACCUCUUUGGGGGAAACCAGCGACUACUUGAAAGUGUGAACAGCGUCUGUUUGAUCUGAUUCGGGUGUUGUGUUCGAAGCUUGAAAUUAAAUUAACUUCUGUGCUUUUUUUAAGCAUAAUUAAUUAAGUUAUCUUUGACUUAUCAACAUCGUAAACGUCCCUUUAGUUAGGUGAAAUCUUUGUUAAUUACUUUUAAUGAACUAAUGAAGGUCAUACUUAACAGUGCUGUUUAAGGCGGAGUUCAUGUUAGUUUUGAUUGAGUCUGAUAUUUGUUUGCUCUGCCACAGAAAAGAAAAGAGGUUGUGACUUCAGUUCUGUGCAAGUGGAUCACAAGAACUGAAUAGACCAGUAAGAAUAGUUUACAUAACUUUAAAUUGUUUUGUGUUUGCAGGAAAUUGUGGGGUGUAACAGUAUUAUAAUUAACAUUUCCAUUAGGAAGUGUAAGAAAACAGAGUCUGAAAUGCUGAAAUAUUGUACUAUAAUCAUAAUUAUCUCAAAGGUUUGCAUACAUCUAAUUAUGUAAAUGUUUAGAAACAUAUUUUGCAAUGCUAAGAACGAUAAGAAAAUGUCUGCUUUUGUGCUGGCGAUCUUAUUUUUUUAUAUAAAACAUGAUGGUGGACAGGUCAAUUCUGAAACGACGGUGAGCAUCAUUGAAAAAAUUGCCUUGGUUUCUGACCACUUGUAAAGAAACUUUAAGAUCCUCUUGAAGACUUUGGUUAUUUGACUUUACUGAAUUGAAAAUGUUUCGAAGUUGAAAUUUGACACCGAGACAGAAUGUUGUCUGUCAUGUUGGUCGCUAGGAGGAGAUCUUAUUUCAAUGAAAACCCUGUGUUGUUACGUAACGUGUGCACUCGGGCGUGGUUUCCAGAAGUGACAAGAAUAUACUAAGACUUGGAACAGUAAUUCAGCACUUCUUUUGUUUUAUUUCAAGAAAGAAUUGAGUAUACAUGGUCAGAACUCCUGUGUGUUUAAGUAUAUGAAGUAUUACUUUUGAAGAGAUCAUGUUGGUGCGCG
Molecule: long non-coding RNA, 2905 nt
Organism: Aplysia californica (California sea hare)
Lineage: Eukaryota; Metazoa; Mollusca; Gastropoda; Aplysiida; Aplysiidae
Product: homeodomain-only protein
Exons: 3
Source: RefSeq, a predicted model, not a curated record